GAUGAACGCUGGCGGCGUGCCUAAUACAUGCAAGUCGAGCGAACGGACGAGAAGCUUGCUUCUCUGAUGUUAGCGGCGGACGGGUGAGUAACACGUGGAUAACCUACCUAUAAGACUGGGAUAACUUCGGGAAACCGGAGCUAAUACCGGAUAAUAUUUUGAACCGCAUGGUUCAAAAGUGAAAAACGGUCUUGCUGUCACUUAUAGAUGGAUCCGCGCUGCAUUAGCUAGUUGGUAAGGUAACGGCUUACCAAGGCAACGAUGCAUAGCCGACCUGAGAGGGUGAUCGGCCACACUGGAACUGAGACACGGUCCAGACUCCUACGGGAGGCAGCAGUAGGGAAUCUUCCGCAAUGGGCGAAAGCCUGACGGAGCAACGCCGCGUGAGUGAUGAAGAUCUUCGGAUCGUAAAACUCUGUUAUUAGGGAAGAACAUAUGUGUAAGUAACUGUGCACAUCUUGACGGUACCUAAUCAGAAAGCCACGGCUAACUACGUG
RNAcentral lists this ribosomal RNA (497 nucleotides) under uncultured bacterium. RNAcentral's name for it is "partial 16S ribosomal RNA". It matches the Rfam family "Bacterial small subunit ribosomal RNA", at positions 28 to 507 of the family's 1533-position model. The record is from RNAcentral.